GGAGAGAUGGCCGAGUGGUUGAUAGCUCCGGUCUUGAAAACCGGUAUAGUUCUUUGCGAACUAUCGAGGGUUCGAAUCCCUCUCUCUCCUCU
This 92-nucleotide transfer RNA is filed under the name Galphimia angustifolia. Its description in RNAcentral is "tRNA-Ser". It matches the Rfam family "tRNA". From Rfam's summary of the family: Transfer RNA (tRNA) molecules are approximately 80 nucleotides in length. Their secondary structure includes four short double-helical elements and three loops (D, anti-codon, and T loops). Further hydrogen bonds mediate the characteristic L-shaped molecular structure. tRNAs have two regions of fundamental functional importance: the anti-codon, which is responsible for specific mRNA codon recognition, and the 3' end, to which the tRNAs corresponding amino acid is attached (by aminoacyl-tRNA synthetases). tRNAs cope with the degeneracy of the genetic code in two manners: having more than one tRNA (with a specific anti-codon) for a particular amino acid; and 'wobble' base-pairing, i.e. permitting non-standard base-pairing at the 3rd anti-codon position. Lineage: Eukaryota; Viridiplantae; Streptophyta; Magnoliopsida; Malpighiales; Malpighiaceae. The record is from RNAcentral.